GGCGGUGCGCGGACCCGCUUCCGGUUGGGCGGUGCUUGCGCGCGUGAGCUGAGCCGGUGGGUGAGCGGCGGCAUCGGCAUCUUGUGCUGUGGGGGCUACGAGGAAAGAUCUAAUUAUCAUGGACCUGCGACAGUUUCUUAUGUGCCUGUCCCUGUGCACAGCCUUUGCCUUGAGCAAGCCCACAGAAAAGAAGGACCGUGUACAUCAUGAGCCUCAGCUCAGUGACAAGGUUCACAAUGAUGCUCAGAGUUUUGAUUAUGACCAUGAUGCCUUCUUGGGUGCUGAAGAAGCAAAGACCUUUGAUCAGCUGACACCAGAAGAGAGCAAGGAAAGGCUUGGAAAGAUUGUAAGUAAAAUAGAUGGCGACAAGGACGGGUUUGUCACUGUGGAUGAGCUCAAAGACUGGAUUAAAUUUGCACAAAAGCGCUGGAUUUACGAGGAUGUAGAGCGACAGUGGAAGGGGCAUGACCUCAAUGAGGACGGCCUCGUUUCCUGGGAGGAGUAUAAAAAUGCCACCUACGGCUACGUUUUAGAUGAUCCAGACCCUGAUGAUGGAUUUAACUAUAAACAAAUGAUGGUUAGAGAUGAGCGGAGGUUUAAAAUGGCAGACAAGGAUGGAGACCUCAUUGCCACAAAGGAGGAGUUCACAGCUUUCCUGCACCCUGAGGAGUAUGACUACAUGAAAGAUAUAGUAGUGCAGGAAACUAUGGAAGAUAUAGAUAAGAAUGCUGAUGGUUUCAUUGAUCUAGAAGAGUAUAUUGGUAAGUCUCUGCUUCUAGUGUUUUUCUUAGAAAAGCUGAGAAGCUUUGAAAGAUGUAUUUGCCGGCUAGGCGCAGUGGCUCAUGCCUGUAAACCCAACACUUUGGGAGGCCGAGGCGGGCAGAUCACCUGAGAUCAGGAGUUCAAGUCCAGCCUGGCCAACAUGGUGAAACCCUGUCUCUACUAAAAAUACAAAAAUAUUAGCUGGCUGGGUGUGGUGGCGGGUGCUGUAGUCCCAGCUACUGGGGAGGCUGAGGCAGGAGAAUGGCGUGAACCCGGGAGGCGGAGCUUGCAGUGAGCCAAGAUCAUGCCACUGCACUCCAGCCUGGGCUACAGAGCGAGACUCUGUCUCAAAAAAAAAAAUAAAUAAAUAAAGUUGCAGGGAGCCCAGACUGGCAUAGGGAAACCCAGGGAAAGGAGAUAGGGAAUAGAUUAAGAGAUGGAUAAAUAAAUGAUGGGGAGUUGCUGAUCCUUCUUGUAGCCGUUCCUUUUUACUGUGUUCUGUUCAUAUUUUCUCUCUGAUUCUCUGACUACUUUCCUUUUGUUUUUUAAGUUUCUCCCUUUUGACAUUCCCUUUUUAGUUGUCUGUCUAAAUUUUUUGUAAAAAAUUGUUUUGGAUGUCACACCUUCAAGGCCAAUUUCUCCCAAGUAAAGCUCUGUUUUAUUAUCAUCAGACUAAUUUUAAGAUAUUCUCAUUGCUUUAAAAAAAAAAAAAAAAAAGCUGUCUUUCUUACCAAGUAGUUGAGCAAAUUGUUUCCCAAUUACUGUGACAGAAAUUAAAAUGAGUAAAGGAGCUGGGUGUGGUGGCAUACCCAGUUACUUGGGAGGCUGAGGCAGGAGGAUCACUUGAGUCCAAGAGUUCUGGACUGUAGUCACAAGUUCAUCAUCAGUAUGGUGACCUCCUGGGAGCAGGGGAUCACCAGGUUGCCUAAGGAGGAGUGAACCGGCCCAGGACAGAAUCAGAGCAGGUCAAAACUGUGCUGAUUAGUAGUGAGGUUGUGCCUGUGGAUAGCAACUGUACUCCAGCCUGAGCAACAUAGCGAGACUCCAUCUCUUUAGAAAAGUGAGUAAAGAUGGAAAGUGUAAGACUGUUACUACAAAUGUCAUUGUUACAAAUACUUUGUUUAGAAAGAUAUUAGAUAUUUUAAUAUUUCACAUACUUAUUUUCAUUUGUAAUAACUUAUUCUAGCACACCAUUGGUUUUGUGUUUCAGAUAAGCCCGUUUGUUUUUAGACCUCUGAUAGUUACCUGAAAUGUUUAUUUUAAGCCUGAAAGGAAGACUUAAUCCUUACCUCUAUCACCUGUCAUUAAACUGUAUGGAGCAAGUCACUCCUUUACUUAGAUGUUGUCUUAUCAUACCUGUUAUUUACAUGCUAGAGUUAUUCCAAUUGAAUUACUCCUUGACUGUUUACCUCCCUUUUCUUAGGUUCAGUGACAUACUUUGAACUUUUUAAAGAAAGAUGAGCAAUGGAAGAUGGGCUGUUUUCCUAAACUGAUUUUUUUUUUUUUUUUUUUGGUGAAGUUCAUCAGGACAGUGGAUAAAUGCCUAGGUGCAUUUACUGAUCCCACAUUGAUGUUACUAGGGUUUUCUACUUUUAAAUGAUUUAUCUUUUUAUUCUUGGCUUUUGCCAUUUUAUUGCCAUUGCUAAAACUGAGGAACUCAUUUGAACCUCCCAAGGAGAGGAAUUUUUAUAACUUAACUACAUCACUUACCAAGCAUUGAGGCCAAAUAAGGAGAUAUUUCUGUCUCCCUGUGUAUCAUAUAGAUUCAAGGGCAGAGGAGUUAUAUUUUGAAGCUACCAAAACUAUCUUGUGCAUGUGUGCUUUUUUUUUUUUUUACAAGUCAGUAACUAAUGCAAACACUUUUACAUCUGGGAUGCUGGGCUUUGUAAAUCUAAAAUUCUCCCAAACAGUAUCUUUCAGCUUCUAGUGCCGUGUUGAAGGAGAGCAUGAAGAAACAAACUUCUUCGCCUCAUAAAUUUAGCAUUAAAAAGAAGCCCCCAUCAGUGCCUGAGGAGACAUAGGGAAAGAAAACAAAAAACACCCAAAGUUGUGCUGAUAAUUAUUUUUAUUUUUAAAAUUUAUUAUAGAGCAUUGCAGACGUAGACUAUUUAUUUAUUUAUUUACUUAUUUAUUUAUUUAUUUUUUGAGACAGUCUUGCUGUGUCACCCAGGCUGGAGUGCAGUGGUGUGAUCUCCACUCACUACAACCUCUGCCUCCCAGGUUCAGGAGAUUCUUGUGCCUCAGCCUCCUGAGUAGUUGGGAUUACAGGCAUGCAUCACCACACCUGGCUAAUUUUUGUAUUUUUAAUAGAGGCGGGGUUUCGCCAUGUUGGCCAGGGUGAUCUUGAACUCCUGGCCUCAAGUGAUCUGACUGUCUUAGCCUCCCAAAGUGCUGGGAUUACAAGUGUGUGAGCCACCGCACCUGCCCCCAAAUUAGAAUAGUAUAAUGAAUCCCCAUGUACCUAUGCCUAACCUCAACAACAAUGAACUUACAGCCAGUUUUUUCUCAGCCACAUCCACUUCCUUGCUUCCUUCUUACUUUGAAGUAAAUCCCAAUCAUUAUGUCAUUUCAUCUGUAAACAUUUAGGUAUAUAUGUCUAAAAUAUAUGUGUUUCUAAAAACAAUUUUUUAAAGAUAAUAUCAACCCAAGAAAAUUAAUAAUCCCUUCAAAUCAUCAAAUAGACUGAGUCUUUUAAAAAUAGAAAUUCGGCCGAGCGUGGUGGCUCAUGCCUGUAAUCCCAACACUUUGGGAGGCUGAGGUGGGCAGAUCACAAGGUCAGGAAUUAGAGACCAGCCUGACCAACCUGGUGAAACCCCGUCUCUACUAAAAAUAUAAAAAUUAGCCAGGUGUGGUGGCACGUGCCUGUGUAAUCCCAGCUACUCAGGAGGCUGAAGCAGGAGAAUCGCUUGAACCCGGGAGGCAGAGGUUGCAGUGAGCUGAGAUGGCGCCACUGCACUCCAGCUUGGGCGACAGAGCAAGACUGUCUCAAAAAAAUAAAUAAAAAUAGAAAUUCAAAUAGUUUAUCAUGGUCACCUAACUUUAAAAUGCACUUAUGUUAUAGUGUAUUGUGUAUUCUAGCUUCCUUUAAAACCAUAUCUUUUAAGCAUGUAUCUAUUUCCUAAUUCAGAACUUUCCAAUCUGUAUCCUGUAAGUCUUCUUGGCCUUCAGGACAGGUAGGGCAGGGACCUGAUCCAGUGGACCGUACAAAUACUACAUUUUCUGAAUGUGCUGUAGCGUGGGAAAAAAUUGGCAACUCCUGCUGUGAGGAACUUCUCUUGUGAGUUUAAGACAGAGGAGUACUUCUACCCUUAACCCUCAAGGUCAGGAAAAUGGCAGCACUGACUAAAUAAUUACCUUUGCUUAGAACUUGCAGGAACUAUUUAGACUUCUCUUUAGGUGUUUUCCCAUACCUUACAUGCAAUGCAGGUACACUUAACUUAGAUGUCGUAUAACUAAAGCGUUUUCAGACUUGUUCACUUACAUAACUCCUGAAAGAAUUUGACCAACAGCAUUCCCUUAUGUGUUUUAAAGUUGGCAUCUGAAAUAUUUAAUUAAGAAAUUUAAACAGUUGUAAAGAAUAGUCUCUUUUGGGCCAGAUGCCGUAACUCAUUCCUGUAAUCCCAGAACUUUGGGAGGCUGAGGCAGGUGAAUCACUUGAGCCCAGGAGUUUGAGACCAACCUGGACAACAUGGCACAACCCUGUCUCUACAAAAAAAAUACAAAAAAAAGAAAAAAUUAGCCGGGCAUGGUGGCGUGUGCCUGUAGUCCCAGCAACUCAGGAGGAUCACUUGAGCCUGAGGGUUUGAGGUUGCAAUGCACCGUUAUUGUACCACUGCACUCCAGCCUGGGCAAGAGAGCAAGACCCUGUCUGAAAAGAAAAAAGAAUAUUCUUUGUUGGUGAUAAGCAUUGACAUUUUGAAAGUAAUUCUGAAAGAAAUCUAUAAAAUUUAAAUACAAGAUACCACAGCAACUUCUUACCUGCCAUCAUUCAUAUGAAUAAUUUGGACAUGACAACUUUAAAAAGAUAAGAAAUUUAAAUUCAGUCUGGGUAUUAGAUGAUACUAAGGAAUUGAUUUUGUAAAAUUUGAAAGAGGCAUUGUGGGUAUAUAAGAAAAUAUCCGUAAUUUUUUACAUUUCAUAAUAGUUAAAAAGGAAAUGUUUCUGUGGUACUUUUUUUUUUUUUUUUAGUUACGGUGUUUGGUUAGCAACAAUGUGACCAUCACUUAAUUGCCCUUUUUUUGUUUAAAUUUAUAGGGAUUUGGGGAUAUUUAUACUACUUAUCGGUCACCACAUGGUAUUGUCUUAAAAAAAUAAAUGAAUAAACUGUUAACCAACUUGGACAUUUUACACUCUUCCUGUUUCUUCUUCUUCUUCUUUUUUUUUAAAAAGACAAGAGUCUCAUUCUGUUGCCCAUGUUGGUGUGGAGUGGCACAAUCACAGCAGCCUCAAUCUCCAAGGUGGGGAGAUCAGGUGAUCCUCUCACCUCAGCUGGGACCACAGAAGAACACCACCAUACCCAGCUGAUUUUUUUAAUUAUUAUUCUUAUAGACAUGGGUCUCCCUACAUUGCCCAGGCUGGUCUGGAAAUCCUGGGCUCAAGAGCUCUACCUGCCUUGGCCUCCCAAAGUGCUGGGAUUACAGACGUCAGCCACCCAGCCUCCUGUUUCUUUUUUUUUUCUUUUUCUUUUUGAGACAGGGUCUCACUCUGUCACCUAGGCUGGAGUAUAGUGGCGUGAUCAUGGUUCACUGCAGCCUCGAUCUGCUAGGCUCAAGCCAUCCUCCUGCCUCAGCCUCCCGAGUAGCUGGGACUUAGGUGCACGCUGCCAUGCCUGGCUAAUUUUUGUAUUUCUUGUAGGGAUUUUGCCAUGUUGCCCAGGCUGAUCUCAAACUCACGAGUCAGCCUUCUAUUUGUUAGAUUCAUUUGCAGUUUAGUUCCUCAACAGAAUUAUAUUCUGACAUAUUUUAUCUUGAAAGCCUUAGUCACUUUGACAUUCUUAUUUGCAAGAACAUUGUGUGUGUAAAUUGAAAUAUGGAAAAUGGUGCUCUGUGACACGGCUCUUAAGUGUUUUUAGAGUCUUCUGGGUUAAGUUACUAUUACAAUUAUUAAUACACAAUUGAACAAAAUAACAUUACAAACGUUUUAUGUUUAUAUAUUUUUAAAUGCAUUUCUUUGACACAUUUUUUUUCAAAUAGUUUCAUAUCCAUGGAUGACAAUUACUUAUCGCUAGAGUGAAAUGGGAUUCAGCACCAAUUCCUAAUUUUUAUUUUUUAGAGGAAGUACUAACAGACCUUGUUUACAUUAGUAAAUAAGUUGAUGGAAAUGGAAGAUUUGUCAUAGCAAUGUUGCUUAGUUCUUGGAACUCCUUUUGAGUUAGAUGCCAGAAAUCAUGUAAUCUGUCAUCAAAAAUUAUGGGUUUUGUUUGUUUCAAGGUGGAGUCUCACUGUCACCCAGGCUGUAGUACAGAGGCAUGGUCUCGGCUCACUGCAACCUCUGCCUCCAGGGUCCAAGCGAUUCUCCUGCCUCAGCCUCUCCAGUAGCUGGGGAUUACAGGUGUGGGCCAGCACGCCCGGCUAAUUUUAUUUUUUAUUUUUAGUAGAGACGGGAUUUCACCAUGUUGGCCAUGCUGGUCUCAAACUCCUGACCUCAAGUGAUCCACCCGCCUCAGCCUCCCAAAGUGCUGGGAUUACAGGCGUGAGCCACUGCACCCAGCCCAAAAAUUAUGUUUGAUGAUCCCUUAGCUAAAACUCAAUUAGGCCAUUUUUCAAGGUUUUUUUUUUUUUUAAAGCAAAGAAUUUAAAACCUUUUGACAUGCAAAAGAAUUUAUUCAUUUUUUUCAGACAUUUGCAUUCUCAAGACUGACACUAGUAUUUCUUUUUCUUUUUUUUUUUGAGACGGAGUCUUGCUCUGUCGCCCAGGCUAGAGUGCAGUGAUACGAUCUCGGCUCACUGCAACCUCCGCCUCCUGGAUUCAAGUGAUUCUCCUGCCUCAACCUCUCGAGUAGCUGGGAUUACAGGCAUGCACCACCAUGCUCAGCUAAUUUUUGUAUUUUUAGUAGAGAUGGGGUUUUGCCAUUUUGGCCAGGCUGGUCUCAAACUCCUGACCUCAGGUGAUCUGGUCUCGAACUCCAACCUCAGGUGAUCUGCCUGCCUAGGCCUCCCAAAGUGCUGGAAUUACAGGUGUGAGCCACCACGCCCCGCCAGACACUAGUAUUUCUAAUUGUUUCUUUUUCAUUAUCGUGGAGCUUUUUACACUCUAGUUUCAAAAUGGUUGAAAAUAUGCCUUUCUUUUAUAAAGUGAGACAAGGGCAGUUGUGAAAGGGGGGAGAUGGGAAAAAAGCCUUGAUGGCCAGAGGUACAUUCUUACGAAGAUCAAUUUUGGAAAAAACUAUAUGUGGAACUGAGUAUCUGGAAUUUGAUUCUCUCUUGACUGACCUUUCUCAGUGUACUCCUUGACAGUGUUCCUGUUUCCCCAGGGGCAUGCUUGUCCCAACUGAAGGCCACUGGUAUAAUGGACUCUUUGUAGUAAUUGACUACACCUUUCUAAAACAAGUGGUCCAGUUUAAUUAGCUACCUUAGGGUGAAAUGAAAUGUAGGGCAACAAGUCUAAAUCUUUCUUGAUGGUAGCUCUCUCCUCUUAUUUCUGCAUUUAUUAAGGUAUAAGGACUCUUUGCUCUCAUGUGACUUAAAAUCAGCAGCUGGAAAUAUUCUCGUUGCAAGAGAAGUAAUUAAGCCUCAGGAAAAUACCUUGCUUUCUAAGGUCUGUCUGGCCUAAAAUACCCUUGCAGCUGCUGUUGGGUUCCAAACAAAUGGAUGAGGAAAAAGGGUUAGGCCAGAUUAGCAUGAGGCAGUUUUUGGGAAAAGACAAACCCUUCUUUCGUAUGUAUGUCUGUG
Symphalangus syndactylus (siamang) is the source of this 7652-nucleotide RNA transcript. It is a transcript of the gene named calumenin, with no coding region annotated. The record is from RefSeq and is a predicted model, not a curated record. Lineage: Eukaryota; Metazoa; Chordata; Mammalia; Primates; Hylobatidae.